Molecule: long non-coding RNA, 427 nt
Filed under: Homo sapiens (human)
Lineage: Eukaryota; Metazoa; Chordata; Mammalia; Primates; Hominidae
Description: HSALNT0128711
Source: RNAcentral
AAUUCCUUUCACCACCUCCUUCAUACACUGGAGGAAAGGGAUCAUCAAGCAGAGUUAUCAGCACAGACGUGGAGACCUGGCAAUGACCUCGACUGCAGUGGAAAUUGGCCCAGCCAAGGAAUCAAUGGCCCUCAAAUCCAGGGGCUACAGGGAAAUGACAGGAGAGAGUCCUGGAGUAGUCAGCCUCCUUGUAAACCCAGCAACCUUAGUAACACCCCCUUCCCUUCCACGGGCCUCUCCUCCUUCUCCAUCUCUCCCCAUUUCUGUACUCUUGAUUUCUGUGCUUGCAUCUCCAAUACAUGACCUGUUCUCAAGUCUUUAACCCAUACUUUGUUUUGGGGGGACCUAACUUUAGACAAUAAAAUUACAUGGUUCUACGAGAGGGUAUGACAAGGGGAUUGAACCUGGUUGGACUUCCUAAGGCCUC